RNAcentral lists this microRNA (22 nucleotides) under Zea mays. RNAcentral's name for it is "zma-miR393a-3p". Its record names the gene zma-miR393a-3p. The record is from miRBase by way of RNAcentral. Lineage: Eukaryota; Viridiplantae; Streptophyta; Magnoliopsida; Poales; Poaceae.
AUCAGUGCAAUCCCUUUGGAAU